Molecule: ribosomal RNA, 262 nt
Filed under: uncultured bacterium
Lineage: Bacteria
Description: partial 16S ribosomal RNA
Rfam family: Bacterial small subunit ribosomal RNA
Source: RNAcentral
GUCCACGCUGUAAACGAUGAGGACUAAAGGUUUGCAGGGGAACCUGUGAGUCUUGAAGCUAACGCGAUAAGUCUUCCGCCUGGGAAGUACGGCCGCAAGGUUGAAACUCAAAUGAAUUGACGGGGGCCCGCACAAGCGGUGUAGCAUGUGGUUUAAUUCGAUGCAACGCGAAGAACCUUACCUACCCUUGACAUCCUGCGAAUCCUGAUGAAAGUUGGGAGUGCCGCAAGGAGCGCAGAGACAGGUGCUGCAUGGCUGUCGU